This 77-nucleotide transfer RNA is filed under the name bacterium. Its description in RNAcentral is "tRNA-Pro". It matches the Rfam family "tRNA". Rfam says of the family: Transfer RNA (tRNA) molecules are approximately 80 nucleotides in length. Their secondary structure includes four short double-helical elements and three loops (D, anti-codon, and T loops). The record is from RNAcentral. RNAcentral also lists the same sequence under 6 other names.
CGGACUGUAGCGCAGCCUGGUAGCGCACUUGCAUGGGGUGCAAGGGGUCGAAGGUUCAAAUCCUUUCAGUCCGACCA